ACGAACGCUGGCGGCGUGCCUAAUACAUGCAGGUAGAACGCACAGUUUAUACCGUAGCUUGCUACACCAUAGACUGUGAGUUGCGAACGGGUGAGUAACGCGUAGGUAACCUGCCUGGUAGCGGGGGAUAACUAUUGGAAACGAUAGCUAAUACCGCAUAAUAUUAAUUAUUGCAUGAUAAUUAAUUGAAAGGUGCAAUUGCACCACUACCAGAUGGACCUGCGUUGUAUUAGCUAGUAGGUGAGGUAACGGCUCACCUAGGCGACGAUACAUAGCCGACCUGAGAGGGUGAUCGGCCACACUGGGACUGAGACACGGCCCAGACUCCUACGGGAGGCAGCAGUAGGGAAUCUUCGGCAAUGGACGAAAGUCUGACCGAGCAACGCCGCGUGAGUGAAGAAGGGUUUCGGAUCGUAAAGCUCUGUUGUAAGAGAAGAACGGGUGUGAGAGUGGAAAGUUCACACUGUGACGGUAUCUUACCAGAAAGGGACGGCUAACUACGUG
This 504-nucleotide ribosomal RNA is filed under the name uncultured bacterium. Its description in RNAcentral is "partial 16S ribosomal RNA". It matches the Rfam family "Bacterial small subunit ribosomal RNA", at positions 29 to 507 of the family's 1533-position model. The record is from RNAcentral.